This 141-nucleotide small RNA is filed under the name Nitrospirota bacterium. RNAcentral's name for it is "Nitrospirae bacterium c-di-AMP sequence". It matches the Rfam family "c-di-AMP riboswitch aptamer (ydaO/yuaA leader)". From Rfam's summary of the family: This family represents a conserved RNA structure found upstream of the ydaO and yuaA genes in Bacillus subtilis and related genes in other bacteria. The ydaO/yuaA element is thought to act as a genetic "off" switch for the ydaO and yuaA genes in its native state. The record is from RNAcentral. Lineage: Bacteria; Pseudomonadati; Nitrospirota.
ACCAAAUAGCAGCCUAAAUCCAUUCAAAGAAUGGAUGCGGGGGACCCAGAAUAUGGGGCGUAUUUCCCGGGAUCACCGGGGAUAAGGCACUUCCAAGCCCGAGCCCGACAGCUAACCUCGCAGGCAUUUGGAAGGGCAAUG